RNAcentral lists this ribosomal RNA (250 nucleotides) under uncultured bacterium. Its description in RNAcentral is "partial 16S ribosomal RNA". It matches the Rfam family "Bacterial small subunit ribosomal RNA", at positions 524 to 773 of the family's 1533-position model. The record is from RNAcentral.
UACGUAGGUGGCAAGCGUUAUCCGGAUUUACUGGGUGUAAAGGGCGUGUAGGCGGGAAAGCAAGUCAGAUGUGAAAACUAUGGGCUCAACCCAUAGCUUGCAUUUGAAACUGUUUUUCUUGAGUACUGGAGAGGCAGAUGGAAUUCCUAGUGUAGCGGUGAAAUGCGUAGAUAUUAGGAGGAACACCAGUGGCGAAGGCGAUCUGCUGGACAGCAACUGACGCUGAGGCGCGAAAGCGUGGGGAGCAAAC